UGUAGUCUGCAACCCGACUACAUGAAGCUGGAAUCGCUAGUAAUCGCGAAUCAGCAUGUCGCGGUGAAUACGUUCCCGGGUCUUGUACACACCGCCCGUCACACCAUGGGAGUUGGAAAUGCCCGAAGUCAGUGACCCAACCGAAAGGAGGGAGCUGCCGAAGGCAGGUUCGAUAACUGGGGUGAAGUCGUAACAAGGUAUC
This 202-nucleotide ribosomal RNA is filed under the name uncultured bacterium. RNAcentral describes it as "partial 16S ribosomal RNA". It matches the Rfam family "Bacterial small subunit ribosomal RNA", at positions 1299 to 1500 of the family's 1533-position model. The record is from RNAcentral.